This 925-nucleotide long non-coding RNA is filed under the name Numida meleagris (helmeted guineafowl). Its description in RNAcentral is "lncRNA (ENSNMEG00000004136.1)". Lineage: Eukaryota; Metazoa; Chordata; Aves; Galliformes; Numididae. The record is from RNAcentral.
GCCAUUUUGGUGCAGUUUUGGUGGCAUUAUUUGGUGCCAUUUCAGUGUCAGCACGGUGCAAUUUUGGUGCCAUUUUGGUGCCAUUUUGGUGCAGUUUUGGGGCCAUUUUGGGUCUAUUUUGGGGCCAUUUUGGUGCCUUUUUGGUGCCAUUAUUUCGUGUCAUUUCAGUGCCAUUUUGGUGCCAUCUUGAUGCUGUCCUGGCCCUGUUUCAGUGCCAUUUUGGUGCAGUUUCGGUGCCAUUUUGGUGGCGUUAUUUGGUGUAAUUUUGGUGCCAUUUUGGUGCCAUUUUGGCUCUGUUCUGGCCCUGUUCCAGUGCCAUUUCUGUGCCAAUUUGGUGCCAUUUUGGUGCCAUUUUGGCUCUUUCCUGACCCUGCUUCGGUGCCAUUUUGGUGCAGUUUGGGAGCAAUUUUGGUGGUGUUAUUUGUGUAAUUUCAGUGCUAUUUUGGUGCCAUUUUGGUGCCAUUUUGGUGCCGUUUUGGUGCCAUUUCGGUGUCAUUUUGGUGGCGUUAUUUCGUGUAAUUUUGGUGCCAUUUUGGUGCAGUUUUGGUUCCAAUUUUGGUGCCAUUUUGGUGCUGUUCUGCCACCAUUUUGGUGCCAUUUUGGUGGCAUUAUUUCAUGUAAUUUCCGUGCCAUUUUGGUGCCAUUUUGGCUCUGUCCUGGCCCUGUUUCGGUGCCAUUUUGGUGCCAUUUUGGUGCCAUUUCAGUGGUGUUAUUUGGUGUAAUUUCAGUGCCAUUUUGGUGCCAUUUUGGCUCCGUUUUGGCCCUGUUUUGGUGCCCUUUUGGUGCCAUUUUGGUGCCAAUUUAGUGCCAUUUUGGUGCCAUUUUGGUGCCAAUUUAGUGCCAUUUUGGUGCCAUUUCGGUGGUGUUAUUCUGUGCAAUUUCGGUGCCGUUUUGGUGCCAUUUUGGUGCUGUUCUGCCACCAUUU